This is a long non-coding RNA of Oncorhynchus tshawytscha (Chinook salmon), 690 nucleotides long. Lineage: Eukaryota; Metazoa; Chordata; Actinopteri; Salmoniformes; Salmonidae. The record is from Ensembl.
GAAUGCAGAGAAGAAGACUCAGUCAUUCAGCCACCAGGAGAUGUGAUCGCUACUGAGGGAGAACAGGUCACAAUGGAUUGUCAAUUUGAUACUCUUGAUACAAACCCGUACCUGUUCUGGUACAAGCAGGGAGGUAAUGACUUCCCAAAGUGUAUGCUGAGGCAGAGCUAAGAUGAGAGGUUGAGAGAUGAUUCUCCUCUAACUGACUGGAACAGAGGGAUGUCUUCAGUUCUGCCUCCUGAUAACACACUGUUACAACCAUCACCAUGUUUCUCUACCCAGUGUUUCUCCUCUCUGCACUUGUUGGUGGCAGUUAUGAAAAUAACUUAAAACCAACUUCAGAGACAGAACAUGGCAUGGAGGUAAGCAGUGUUACACUGUCUUGCAACUACUCUGGAUCAGUAGACUCUUCAAUGGUAUCGUCAAUAUCCCAGAUCAGCACCGCAAUUCAUCCUCUAAACUACAGUCACCUUAAAGCCCUCUGUAUUUAGAGCUGAACCUGAUGACCCUCGACUGUCUGUUAAUCUGAAUAAAGAGAGAACCUGUGUGGAUCUGGAGAUCUCCUCUGCUGAAUUGACAGACUCUGCUCUGUACUACUGUGCCCUGAGGCCCACAGUGACAGGAAACCCCUCUAAUAAACUCCUCUAAUGCAUAUUUUAGCGCAGGGGUGAGGCGUCCUACUGUAGGUUC